Molecule: ribosomal RNA, 430 nt
Filed under: uncultured bacterium
Lineage: Bacteria
Description: bacterial SSU rRNA
Rfam family: Bacterial small subunit ribosomal RNA
Source: RNAcentral
CGCGAAGAACCUUACCAGGUCUUGACAUCCUUUGACCACUCUAGAGAUAGAGCUUCCCCUUCGGGGGCAAAGUGACAGGUGGUGCAUGGUUGUCGUCAGCUCGUGUCGUGAGAUGUUGGGUUAAGUCCCGCAACGAGCGCAACCCUUAUUGUUAGUUGCCGUCAUUUAGUUGGGCACUCUAGCGAGACUGCCGGUGACAAACCGGAGGAAGGUGGGGAUGACGUCAAAUCAUCAUGCCCCUUAUGACCUGGGCUACACACGUGCUACAAUGGGAAGUACAACGAGUUGCGAAGUCGCGAGGCUAAGCUAAUCUCUUAAAGCUUCUCUCAGUUCGGAUUGUAGGCUGCAACUCGCCUACAUGAAGCCGGAAUCGCUAGUAAUCGCGGAUCAGCACGCCGCGGUGAAUACGUUCCCGGGUCUUGUACACACC